Molecule: ribosomal RNA, 478 nt
Filed under: uncultured bacterium
Lineage: Bacteria
Description: partial 16S ribosomal RNA
Rfam family: Bacterial small subunit ribosomal RNA
Source: RNAcentral
GAUGAACGCUGACAGAAUGCUUAACACAUGCAAGUCUACUUGAUUCUACUUCGGUAGUUGAUGGUGGCGGACGGGUGAGUAACGCGUAAAGAAUCUGCCCUUUAGUUUGGGAUAACCUUUGGAAACGAAGGCUAAUACCGGAUAUUAUGGAGACGUCGCAUGGCGACUCCAUGAAAGCUAUAUGCGCUAGAGGAAGACUUUGCGUCCCAUUAGUUAGUUGGUGAGGUAAUGGCUCACCAAGACCGCGAUGGGUAGCCGGCCUGAGAGGGUGAUCGGCCACCAGGGAACUGAGACACGGUCCUUACUCCUACGGGAGGCAGCAGUGGGGAAUAUUGGACAAUGGGCCACAAGCCUGAUCCAGCAAUUCUGUGUGCACGAUGAAGGUCUUCGGAUUGUAAAGUGCUUUCAGUAGGGAAGAAAAAAAUGACGGUACCUACAGAAGAAGCGACGGCUAAAUAUGUGCCAGCAGCCGCGGUAA